CCUACGGGCGGCUGCAGUGGGGAAUAUUGGACAAUGGGCGCAAGCCUGAUCCAGCCAUGCCGCGUGUGUGAAGAAGGCCUUCGGGUUGUAAAGCACUUUCAGUCGGGAAGAAAGCCUUGGGUCUAAUACCCUCGAGGAAGGACAUUACCCACAGAAGAAGCACCGGCUAACUCCGUGCCAGCAGCCGCGGUAAUACGGAGGGUGCGAGCGUUAAUCGGAAUUACUGGGCGUAAAGCGCGCGUAGGCGGUCUGAUAAGCCGGUUGUGAAAGCCCCGGGCUCAACCUGGGAACGGCAUCCGGAACUGUCAGGCUAGAGUGCAGGAGAGGAAGGUAGAAUUCCCGGUGUAGCGGUGAAAUGCGUAGAGAUCGGGAGGAAUACCAGUGGCGAAGGCAGCCUUCUGGGCUGACACUGACGCUGAGGGGCGAAAGCGUGGGUAGCAAACAGGAUUAGAUACCCGGGUAGUC
Molecule: ribosomal RNA, 465 nt
Filed under: Vreelandella stevensii
Lineage: Bacteria; Pseudomonadati; Pseudomonadota; Gammaproteobacteria; Oceanospirillales; Halomonadaceae
Description: partial 16S ribosomal RNA
Rfam family: Bacterial small subunit ribosomal RNA
Source: RNAcentral